Molecule: non-coding RNA, 1106 nt
Organism: Nicotiana tabacum (common tobacco)
Lineage: Eukaryota; Viridiplantae; Streptophyta; Magnoliopsida; Solanales; Solanaceae
Source: RefSeq, a predicted model, not a curated record
AGUUAAUUAUAGAAAAAUAGGUCAUUAGGUUAAUUUUACAAAUUAGUUGGAAUUAGGAGUGUUAAAUAAAUUGAUUAGUCUUGAAAAAUACAAAAAAAGAAAAGAGAAGGCUAUGGGGUCUCAUUACAGCUUUGGGCCAGGUUUCUAGUGGCCCAUUUUCCUUCCAUUCGCCCCAGCCCACUACCCGCCGGCCCAAUAUCCCCCUUCAUCUCUAAAAUAGACCCUAAUUUCACCCUCCCCUUUGGAUUCAGAAGAUCAGAGAUAUCGGCAGACCCCCCUCUUUGAUUCCCAUUUUUUGAGAAUGGAGCCUCACUCUCAAAAAACAAAGAACAUACACACAUUCAGUCAAUUAUUCAUCAGCGAAAACACACGCAUACCCAGGAGCAGCAAAGACUCUAGAACGCAAGUAUUCCAGAUCUGAAAAUUUUUCAAAGAGUGUUCCGAAUUUCCAAUGAGCUGAUUUCGCUGUUGUUUACUCUGCUGUCCAGUAGCUGAAUUCCAACAUCACGUCUGGUUUUCAGCCUUUAUUUGGCUUUCGAUUUUUGUUUGCUAUUCAGUUGGUGAUUCUAAAGGUUGGAUUGUAGGCAACGUUGAUUACAAUGAUUGGGCUUUUUCAAAGAAUUUUCAAGUUAAUGACAUCUUGAAUUUCAAUUACAACAACAAAUACCACAAUGUGAUGCAAGUGAGUAGCCAAGAAUAUUAUUCAUGCACAGUUACAGAUCCAAUGGCCACUUUAAACACAGGCAAAGACUCUUUUACACUUUCAGCCCCUGGCGAUUACUAUUACGUUUGCGGGUUUCCUGGCCAUUGCCAAAUUGGCCAGAAAGUUCAUAUACAAGUUAGUGGUUCUCAGGUAAAUAGUGCCCAACGAAAAGCUAAUCCAUCUGAAGCAAGUGCUGUUUCAUCUCAUUCUUUCUUGUGGUUUUCCAUCAUGGGCAUGCUUGGAAUCUGCUUUUACUAGGUCGAGGCGAAGUUAGAAUUUUUAGUUUAUGAAUUUUGAAUCAUUAUAAUGUGGCUUUGCACCUAGUUUUAGAUUUUUUUUGUGCUAAUUGUAGACAAUAAAUUGCGUCGAGAAAAUAAAAUCCAGGCCGAAAAAUAUUGCAACA